CCUCCAAUCUAUACCUGGAAUUCCAACUACAUACUUUAACUUUAUGGGUACCUUAUUACCCCUGAACAUUUUAAAAGUGAAAUAUAUACCCACUUAAAAAGUCUUACCCAAAUUUAUGUUAAGUAGUGAGAUACACUCGCCUACCACAUCAUUUUUUAGUACAAAAAGUUAUUAUUUUGUCUUUAUUUUAUAUUUUCCUAUCUCUUUUUCUCUUUUGUUAUUGAUAUGAAACCAGAAGCACAUUACCUUGUUCUUUCUUUCUUCUUCUUUAUAUUUUUUUUGAAAAAACAAUUUUUUGGUGGCUGUUACACUAUUUUAUUAAUUAUCAAAGUUAAAUGUUACAAAUCUCAAAAAGCAUUAAUAAAGGUUUUGACCCAGUCCACUAUGAUCAGCUCUAUCUACUCCUCUAUAAGCUUUCCUAAUAUUUGGAUAAAUUUCUCAACAAUCCCAAGGUGUUUUCAUUGUCGCCGACACCCCUCGCCAACACCUUUAAUGAUGUUCGAAAGGUCCAAGUAUGACGCUACCAAAACAGGUGUAAAGGCUGCAAUUGCCUCACAUUUGGUAGAAGGCCUACUAGUGCUACAUCAAGUGUUAUCAGGAUUGCAAUUGCAUCAACAUCUAGUGAAAGGCCUACAAAUAUUUCAUCAAGUGGUGUAAGGAUUGCAACUGCCUUAACAUUUGAUGGAAGGCCUACAAAUAAUUCAUCAAGUAGUGUGGGGCCUGCAACAAGUCCAUUUGGUACUCUACAAUCAUGCAAGUGGACCAAAAAAAGAAAGACUAGCACAACUAAGAGGGGGACCAAGACAAAAAUAAAAACAAAGACAGUUAUGGUCUCUUAUGUGGAUCUGGUGCGAGUAUAAUUGAGAAGAUAUUUAAUUUAUCAUUUAAACACAUUUUUAAUUGUCAUUAUUGAUAUUAGUUCAUCUUUAAGUGAUGAUUUUGUUGUUUUCUCAUUCUGGAAAUAUUGAUAGGGUGUUACAUAAGGCUGCAUUAUCAAGUUCAAUUUCUAUCAAUGUAGAUCUUGAUUACACUCAAUGGACUAUGGUUAGGCAGCUAUGAGAGGAGAGUUACAAAAGCAUUUAAGUCACAACUGACACUUAUGCCACACCAAGCACUGAUGACACACAUUUUAUUUCUCUUUCUUUAGCUUAAUGAGUUUAUCCUAAUUGACUUUAUUUGGCUUAA
Solanum lycopersicum (tomato) is the source of this 1185-nucleotide long non-coding RNA. RefSeq lists it as uncharacterized. NCBI's taxonomy places the organism in Eukaryota, Viridiplantae, Streptophyta, Magnoliopsida, Solanales, Solanaceae. The record is from RefSeq and is a predicted model, not a curated record.